AAAAAAGACAACCCUAAUUUUUAUACUAAUAUUUGACGUCUAUCUUAUAUAAAAUUUUUUUAUAAUUAGUAUUUUCAUUGGUGUUAGAUGAUAAAACAUGAUUAAUACUUUAUGCGUGAUUUAUCUUUUUAAUUUUUUUUAUAAUUUUUUUAAAUAAGACGGACGGUCAAACGUUGGACACGGAAACCAGGGUUUGUCUUUUU
RNAcentral lists this microRNA precursor (203 nucleotides) under Oryza sativa Indica Group (long-grained rice). RNAcentral describes it as "MIR812 microRNA precursor family". It matches the Rfam family "MIR812 microRNA precursor family". The record is from Rfam by way of RNAcentral. Lineage: Eukaryota; Viridiplantae; Streptophyta; Magnoliopsida; Poales; Poaceae.